Molecule: long non-coding RNA, 1136 nt
Organism: Astatotilapia calliptera (eastern happy)
Lineage: Eukaryota; Metazoa; Chordata; Actinopteri; Cichliformes; Cichlidae
Source: Ensembl
GCUGUCAAAAGAUCCCCACCUGGGGUGAGAUAAAUCAGGCAGCGUGGGAGGACACUGGACAGACCUAAAUGUUUAAUGAUGGUGUGUUGGGAAUACUUAGUAGAGGCAUCUUCAACUCUCACCUACGGCAGAGCUUUGACAGGAGUCUGUACGACACUGAGGACAUUGAGACUGACUGGACCAUGUUCAGCACCUUCAUCACUGAAGCUGCAUUGAGCUGUGGCUGUAAGAUGGUUGGUGCCCUUUUGUGGUGGUAACUGCUGAACCAUAUGGACACCGGAGGUGAAGGGAGCCACCAGGCUGUAGAAGAAUUCCUAUUGGGUUGGGGUAGCCUGUGGGACCUCGGAGGCAGCCAGAGGGCACUGAUUGGCCAAGUGGAAUGUGUAGCACUCAUUUUUAACAUAAAUGGUCAUUCACAUAAUUUGUAUUCUGUGCCAUUUUUUUCAUGUCACUGUUAUAAUGAAGUACUUUGUCAUGUAGCUUUUCAUCUGUCAUACAUUUUUUUUUUUGUUUUUUAUUAUUGCUUUGUUGUGUAGUGUCAUCAUGUUUUUGUGAGGGUUUGCUCUUUUUGUAGGGUGGCUACAGUCCGGCUUUCCUCUACAACCGACUCAGAUGAAAUUCUCUUCAUUUGCACCAGUGACUGUAAAAAAACCUAGAUGACCUAAUAGCUCCCAAAGAAUGAAGCCAGUCUAUAUCGCCACCCGGUGUCUCGCUGCAGCAUAGGUCAAACACCCGCCUUCUUCAUGAUAGCAGAUGGGACUGGAGCCAGACUAAAGUAAAAAAAUUCUCCUCAGAUAAAUUUUCCUAAAGAUUAUUUCAUUCAUUAUCAGCAGUUCCCAUGAUGCAUAUUUGUCCUCAAGGGCUCUCCUUUAUCACAUGUUUGAUUCUAAUUACUAGCAUAAUGCUGUUAAAUUGGGCUGUGACGUCAGCUUUAACUGGCAGCUGCAGUCACAGAGAAACUUGAGCCUUUCUGUUUGGGAAUAGCAGAUAGAGCGGGGACGCUGAGAGGAGGUCCAGUGUUUAUGUUACAAAACCACGACCGACUGUUUCAACCUGACAGCCUGAGGUGUUCUUCAAUAAACUGGGCUGAAUAUGUGCAAACAGCAGCAUGUUUUCUGUCUCUUGCCACAACUGUA